Hippopotamus amphibius kiboko is the source of this 341-nucleotide long non-coding RNA. RefSeq lists it as uncharacterized. The transcript has 3 exons. Lineage: Eukaryota; Metazoa; Chordata; Mammalia; Artiodactyla; Hippopotamidae. The record is from RefSeq and is a predicted model, not a curated record.
UUGGGUUCCCGUUGGUUAUGGGUGCCCUUUACUUGUCACGGCACUUUCCUGUCCUCAUCACGUUCAGUCUUCUUGCACAGCCUUAUGAAAGGCCAUCCGCAGUCACCGUUUUGUCUUUUUUGUAGCUGGGAAGUUGAAGCAGAAGGGUGAGACUUUCAAAAAAAAAGAAAAAGCAAGAAACAACAACACAACUCCUUAGAACCCAGCAGCCUGAAAAGAGAAAGUAGUGGUCUUCAAAGUGUAAGAGUAACAUCAUGGAAAAUUCCCUGACCAGGGAUCAAACCCGUGCCCCCUGCAUUGAAAGUGUGGAGUCUUAACCACUGGACAACCAGGGAAGUCCC